UACGUAGGGGGCAAGCGUUGUCCGGAAUCAUUGGGCGUAAAGAGCGUGUAGGCGGCCCGGUAAGUCCGCUGUGAAAGUCGAGGGCUCAACCCUCGAAUGCCGGCGGAUACUGUCGGGCUCGAGUCCGGAAGAGGCGAGUGGAAUUCCUGGUGCAGCGGUGAAAUGCGCAGAUAUCAGGAGGAACACCAAUGGCGAAGGCAGCUCGCUGGGACGUGACUGACGCUGAGACGCGAAAGCGUGGGGAGCAAACAGG
This 253-nucleotide ribosomal RNA is filed under the name uncultured bacterium. RNAcentral's name for it is "partial 16S ribosomal RNA". It matches the Rfam family "Bacterial small subunit ribosomal RNA", at positions 524 to 776 of the family's 1533-position model. The record is from RNAcentral.